Nyctereutes procyonoides (raccoon dog) is the source of this 389-nucleotide long non-coding RNA. RefSeq lists it as uncharacterized. The record is from RefSeq and is a predicted model, not a curated record. Lineage: Eukaryota; Metazoa; Chordata; Mammalia; Carnivora; Canidae. The transcript has 4 exons.
CCUGCCUGCAGGUCAACUGGAAAGAAACCUGGAGUCACUCUUCCCUGCUUGGGAGCAUUGAGUCCCUCUUGGCUCCAGUCAAGGGGUGUCGGCAGUGGGGAGCACUAACAGAUGUCUGACACCAACUCAGGAAGUCCGAGUAUGAAGAAAUCAGAGCUCAGAAAGAUCCAGUUCAUUUGUCCAUUCAGCAGCUGUUGCCUACCUGCACACUUCCGUGAGCUUUCCCAGAAGAAUUGAGACCUGGGGAUAGCACCCAAGAAGAAGGAAGAUAUAGGUUGACAACUGAGACAUUUCCUGGAUUGUUCAUAUCAUGUCACAGCUGGACUGAGCCUUAGAAGAGUUUGCAUCAACACUAAAUAACCCCUCUAAACGUCUGAGGCUGAAUGGGG